RNAcentral lists this ribosomal RNA (346 nucleotides) under uncultured fungus. RNAcentral describes it as "SSU rRNA". It matches the Rfam family "Eukaryotic small subunit ribosomal RNA", at positions 20 to 371 of the family's 1831-position model. Lineage: Eukaryota; Fungi. The record is from RNAcentral.
GUAGUCAUAUGCUUGUCUCAAAGAUUAAGCCAUGCAUGUCUAAGUAUAAGCAAUUAUACCGUGAAACUGCGAAUGGCUCAUUAAAUCAGUUAUCGUUUAUUUGAUAGUACCUUACUACUUGGAUAACCGUGGUAAUUCUAGAGCUAAUACAUGCUGAAAACCCCAACUUCGGGGGGGGUGUAUUUAUUAGAUAAAAACCAACGCCCUUCGGGGCUUCUUGGUGAUUCAUGAUAACUUUACGGAUCGCAUGGCCUUGCGCCGGCGACUGUUCAUUCAAAUUUCUGCCCUAUCAACUUUCGAUGGUAGGAUAGUGGCCUACCAUGGUAUCAACGGGUAACGGGGAAUG